This 433-nucleotide ribosomal RNA is filed under the name uncultured bacterium. RNAcentral describes it as "partial 16S ribosomal RNA". It matches the Rfam family "Bacterial small subunit ribosomal RNA", at positions 29 to 507 of the family's 1533-position model. The record is from RNAcentral.
AACGAACGCUGGCGGCAUGCCUAACACAUGCAAGUCGAACGAGACCUUCGGGACUAGUGGCGCACGGGUGUGUAACGUGUGGGAAUGUGCCCUUCGGCUGGGAAUAAUUGUGAGAAAUUUCAGCUAAUACCUUAUAAUGUCUUCGGACAAAAGAUUUAUCGCAGAGGGAUGAGCACGAGUAGGUUUAGGUAGUGGGGGGGGUAAUGGCCUACCAAGCCGUGGCUCCUUAGCUGGUCUGAGAGGAAGGUCGGCGACACUGAGACUGAGACACGGCCCGGACUCUUGCAGGAUGGGGCAGUGGCUGAUACAGGAAUACGGGCUAAGGGCUGAUGCAGCACGGGUGGGUAAGUCAUGAUGGCCGGAGAGUAGUGAAGCUGGUUUACCCGGGGUGAUAAUGACGGUACCGAAAGAAUAAGCACCGGCUAACUUCGUG